CCUACGGGUGGCAGCAGUGAGGAAUAUUGGUCAAUGGGCGAGAGCCUGAACCAGCCAAGUCGCGUGAGGGAAGACGGUCCUACGGAUUGUAAACCUCUUUUGUCAGGGAGCAAGGAGCGCCACGAGUGGGGCGGCGAGAGUACCUGAAGAAAAAGCAUCGGCUAACUCCGUGCCAGCAGCCGCGGUAAUACGGAGGAUGCGAGCGUUAUCCGGAUUUAUUGGGUUUAAAGGGUGCGCAGGCGGAAGCGGCAAGUCCGCGGUAAAAUGUCCGGGCUCAACCCGGGCCGGCCGUUGAAACUGGGGAUCUUGAGUGGGCGAGAAGUAUGCGGAAUGCGUUGUGUAGCGGU
This 347-nucleotide ribosomal RNA is filed under the name uncultured bacterium. Its description in RNAcentral is "partial 16S ribosomal RNA". It matches the Rfam family "Bacterial small subunit ribosomal RNA", at positions 338 to 682 of the family's 1533-position model. The record is from RNAcentral.